Molecule: non-coding RNA, 124 nt
Filed under: Loigolactobacillus rennini
Lineage: Bacteria; Bacillati; Bacillota; Bacilli; Lactobacillales; Lactobacillaceae
Also listed under: 1 other name
Description: Lactobacillus rennini FMN sequence
Rfam family: FMN riboswitch aptamer (RFN element)
About the family: The RFN element is a highly conserved domain that is found frequently in the 5'-untranslated regions of prokaryotic mRNAs that encode for flavin mononucleotide (FMN) biosynthesis and transport proteins. This element is a metabolite-dependent riboswitch that directly binds FMN in the absence of proteins. In Bacillus subtilis, the riboswitch most likely controls gene expression by causing premature transcription termination within the 5' untranslated region of the ribDEAHT operon and precluding access to the ribosome-binding site of ypaA mRNA.
Source: RNAcentral
AAUUUUCUUCGAGGCAGGGUGUAAUUCCCGAUCGGCGGUGAAAUAAAGUCCGCAAGCCGUGUUAACGGUGGAUUCAGUGUGAAGCUGAAACCGACAGUGAAAGUCUGGAUGAGAGAAGAAACUU